This 931-nucleotide ribosomal RNA is filed under the name uncultured Myxococcales bacterium. RNAcentral describes it as "bacterial SSU rRNA". It matches the Rfam family "Bacterial small subunit ribosomal RNA", at positions 8 to 916 of the family's 1533-position model. Lineage: Bacteria; Pseudomonadati; Myxococcota; Myxococcia; Myxococcales. The record is from RNAcentral.
AGAGUUUGAUCCUGGCUCAGAACGAACGCUGGCGGCGUGCCUAACACAUGCAAGUCGAGCGAGAAAGCCCGCAAGGGUGAGUAAAGCGGCGCACGGGUGCGUAACACGUGGGUAAUCUGCCCUAGAGUCCGGAAUAACUCGCCGAAAGGCGUGCUAAUGCCGGAUGAGACCACGGGAGCUUCGGCUCCUGCGGGAAAAGGUGGCCUCUGUACACAAGCUAUCGCUCUAGGAUGAGCCCGCGGCCCAUCAGCUCGUUGGCGGGGUAAUGGCCCACCAAGGCAACGACGGGUAGCUGGUCUGAGAGGACGAUCAGCCACACUGGAACUGAGACACGGUCCAGACUCCUACGGGAGGCAGCAGUGGGGAAUCUUGCGCAAUGGGCGAAAGCCUGACGCAGCAACGCCGCGUGUGUGAUGAAGGUCUUCGGAUCGUAAAGCACUGUCGCGAGGGACGAAUAAGGGACGGGCGAACAGUCCGUCACGAUGACGGUACCUCGAGAGGAAGCACCGGCUAACUCUGUGCCAGCAGCCGCGGUAAUACAGAGGGUGCGAGCGUUGUUCGGAAUUAUUGGGCGUAAAGCGCGUGUAGGCGGCCUAGCAAGUCGGAUGUGAAAGCCCUCGGCUUAACCGAGGAAGUGCGUUCGAAACUACUGGGCUUGAGUACCGGAGAGGGUGGCGGAAUUCCCGGUGUAGAGGUGAAAUUCGUAGAUAUCGGGAGGAACACCAGUGGCGAAGGCGGUCACCUGGACGGAUACUGACGCUGAGACGCGAAAGCGUGGGUAGCAAACAGGAUUAGAUACCCUGGUAGUCCACGCUGUAAACGAUGAGCGCUAGGUGUUGCGGGUGUUGACCCCUGCAGUGCCGCAGCUAACGCAUUAAGCGCUCCGCCUGGGAAGUACGGCCGCAAGGCUAAAACUCAAAGGAAUUGACGG